This 253-nucleotide ribosomal RNA is filed under the name uncultured bacterium. RNAcentral describes it as "partial 16S ribosomal RNA". It matches the Rfam family "Bacterial small subunit ribosomal RNA", at positions 524 to 776 of the family's 1533-position model. The record is from RNAcentral.
UACGGGGGGGGCAAGCGUUGUUCGGAAUUACUGGGCGUAAAGGGCGCGUAGGCGGCCUUGUAAGUCCUGUGUGAAAUCCCCCGGCUCAACUGGGGAACUGCACAGGAGACUGCUUGGCUUGAGUUCGGGAGAGGGAAGCGGAAUUCCGGGUGUAGCGGUGAAAUGCGUAGAUAUCCGGAGGAACACCGGUGGCGAAGGCGGCUUCCUGGACCGACACUGACGCUGAGGCGCGAAAGCCAGGGGAGCAAACGGG